Molecule: ribosomal RNA, 497 nt
Filed under: uncultured bacterium
Lineage: Bacteria
Description: partial 16S ribosomal RNA
Rfam family: Bacterial small subunit ribosomal RNA
Source: RNAcentral
GAUGAACGCUGGCGGCGUGCCUAAUACAUGCAAGUCGAGCGAACGGACGAGAAGCUUGCUUUUCUGAUGUUAGCGGCGGGCGGGUGAGUAACACGUGGAUACCCUACCUAUAAGACUGGGAUAACUUCGGGAAACCGGAUCUAAUACCGGAUAAUAUUUUGAACCGCAUGGUUCAAAGGUGAAAGACGGUCUUGCUGUCACUUAUAGAUGGAUCCGCGCUGCAUUAGCUAGUUGGUAAGGUAACGGCUUACCAAGGCAACGAUGCAUAGCCGACCUGAGAGAGUGAUCGGCCACACUGGAACUGAGACACGGUCCAGACUCCUACGGGAGGCAGCAGUAGGGAAUCUUCCGCAAUGGGCGAAAGCCUGACGGAGCAACGCCGCGUGAGUGAUGAAGGUCUUCGGAUCGUAAAACUCUGUUAUUAGGGAAGAACAUAUGUGUAAGUAACUGUGCACAUCUUGACGGUACCUAAUCAGAAAGCCACGGCUAACUACGUG